CCUUAUCUCUUUGUCCCGAUAAUAGAUUUUGGGUUUCUCUGUGAUUUUCACACUUGGAAUCCUAAUUCUCAUCUGUGAUUUUUGUUGUCAAUCGAAAGUGAGACAGAGUAAAUCACAAGCUCAUACAUGUCUGAUCAUCAUUUCCACCCUUAUUGAAGUCAUUUCUCGCUUAGGAAAGAAUGGAUAAUCCAGCAAUAGAUACACCUCCGCCAUUGAAAUGAAACUCAAAUGAUGUAGGCUGGGAGUAUGGUUUGCUAUGUGAUCCACGACUUUCAUAAAAAGUGAGAUGUAGGUUAUGUGGCAAAGAGUUUUCUGGUGGCAACAUAAAAAGUGAGAUGUAGGUUUUGUUUUUGUAUUAGAUGUGGCCGAAGAAACAACAGUUGUAAUAUAUGAUCUAACUUGGUGUUUGAUGAACUUUUAUAUAUUUAAAAUUAAAAUUUUAUUAAAA
This is a long non-coding RNA of Raphanus sativus (radish), 448 nucleotides long. RefSeq lists it as uncharacterized. The record is from RefSeq and is a predicted model, not a curated record. NCBI's taxonomy places the organism in Eukaryota, Viridiplantae, Streptophyta, Magnoliopsida, Brassicales, Brassicaceae. The transcript is spliced from 2 exons.